This 471-nucleotide ribosomal RNA is filed under the name uncultured bacterium. Its description in RNAcentral is "bacterial SSU rRNA". It matches the Rfam family "Bacterial small subunit ribosomal RNA", at positions 13 to 473 of the family's 1533-position model. The record is from RNAcentral.
UUGAUCCUGGCUCAGGAUGAACGCUAGCGGCAGGCCUAACACAUGCAAGUCGAGGGGCAGCAGGAACAAUAGCAAUAUUGUUUGCUGGCGACCGGCGCACGGGUGCGUAACACGUAUGCAACCUACCUCAUACAGGGGCAUAGCCCAGAGAAAUCUGGAUUAAUUCCCCAUAAUAUAUAGAUAAGGCAUCUUAUUUAUAUUAAAGUCACAACGGUAUGAGAUGGGCAUGCGUCCAAUUAGCUAGUUGGUGAGGUAAUGGCUCACCAAGGCUUCGAUUGGUAGGGGGUCUGAGAGGAUGAUCCCCCACACUGGUACUGAGACACGGACCAGACUCCUACGGGAGGCAGCAGUGAGGAAUAUUGCGCAAUGGAGGAAACUCUGACGCAGCCAUGCCGCGUGAAGGACGACUGCCCUAUGGGUUGUAAACUUCUUUUGUACGGGAAUAAACCCUUGCUCGUGAGCGAGGUUGAA